UACGGGGGGGGCAAGCGUUGUUCGGAAUUACUGGGCGUAAAGGGCGCGUAGGCGGUUUGCUAAGUUGGAUGUGAAAACUGUGGGCUCAACCCAUAGCCUGCAUCCAAAACUGGUAGGCUAGAGUUCUGGAGGGGAUAGCGGAGUUCCUGGUGUAGCGGUGAAAUGCGUAGAUAUCAGGAGGAACACCGGUGGCGAAGGCGGCUAUCUGGACAGAGUCUGACGCUGAGGCGCGAAAGCUAGGGGAGCAAACAGG
Molecule: ribosomal RNA, 253 nt
Filed under: uncultured bacterium
Lineage: Bacteria
Description: partial 16S ribosomal RNA
Rfam family: Bacterial small subunit ribosomal RNA
Source: RNAcentral